GGCGCCGGCUGCGAUUUUUUUGACUGGUAUGAGCCCGCAACAAGCAGUUUUUUGAGGGAGCUGUUGAACGAUCUUCGUGAAGCCGUGUUAUCGCUAAGAAGGGAGAAGAAUGAGCUGCAACGUUGUGUUGAAGAACUGAGGCCAAAGGUAGAAGAGCGGUGCCUAGAAUUAGGGGUAGCAAUGAAUGAAGUGGCACAAUUGAGGCUUGUGGCAGCUGAGAAUGAAGCUAACAUGGCUGCUAUGAGAGCAAUUCAGAUGUGA
This 261-nucleotide long non-coding RNA is filed under the name Oryza sativa aromatic subgroup. RNAcentral describes it as "lncRNA OsARC_01g0044400". The record is from RNAcentral. Lineage: Eukaryota; Viridiplantae; Streptophyta; Magnoliopsida; Poales; Poaceae.